CGAGCGCAACCCUUGUCCUUAGUUACCAGCACGUUAUGGUGGGCACUCUAAGGAGACUGCCGGUGACAAACCGGAGGAAGGUGGGGAUGACGUCAAGUCAUCAUGGCCCUUACGGCCUGGGCUACACACGUGCUACAAUGGUCGGUACAAAGGGUUGCCAAGCCGCGAGGUGGAGCUAAUCCCAUAAAACCGAUCGUAGUCCGGAUCGCAGUCUGCAACUCCGACUGCGUGAAGUCGGAAUCGCUAGUAACCGUGAAUCAGAAUGUCACGGUGAAUACGUUCCCGGGCCUU
RNAcentral lists this ribosomal RNA (291 nucleotides) under uncultured Pseudomonas sp. RNAcentral's name for it is "partial 16S ribosomal RNA". It matches the Rfam family "Bacterial small subunit ribosomal RNA", at positions 1093 to 1382 of the family's 1533-position model. Lineage: Bacteria; Pseudomonadati; Pseudomonadota; Gammaproteobacteria; Pseudomonadales; Pseudomonadaceae. The record is from RNAcentral.